RNAcentral lists this transfer RNA (74 nucleotides) under Polyacanthonotus rissoanus (smallmouth spiny eel). RNAcentral describes it as "tRNA-Lys". It matches the Rfam family "tRNA". From Rfam's summary of the family: Transfer RNA (tRNA) molecules are approximately 80 nucleotides in length. Their secondary structure includes four short double-helical elements and three loops (D, anti-codon, and T loops). Further hydrogen bonds mediate the characteristic L-shaped molecular structure. tRNAs have two regions of fundamental functional importance: the anti-codon, which is responsible for specific mRNA codon recognition, and the 3' end, to which the tRNAs corresponding amino acid is attached (by aminoacyl-tRNA synthetases). tRNAs cope with the degeneracy of the genetic code in two manners: having more than one tRNA (with a specific anti-codon) for a particular amino acid; and 'wobble' base-pairing, i.e. permitting non-standard base-pairing at the 3rd anti-codon position. Lineage: Eukaryota; Metazoa; Chordata; Actinopteri; Notacanthiformes; Notacanthidae. The record is from RNAcentral.
CACUGAGAAGCUGAAUAGGGGAUAGCGUUAGCCUUUUAAGCUAAAGAAUGGUGACUCCCGACCACCCUUAGUGA